GAUGAACGCUGGCGGCGUGCCUAAUACAUGCAAGUCGAGCGAACGGACGAGAAGCUUGCCUUUUUGAUGUUAGCGGCGGACGGGUGAGUAACACGUGGAUAACCUACCUAUAAGACUGGGAUAACUUCGGGAAACCGGAGCUAAUACCGGAUUAUCUUUUGAACCGCAUGGUUCAAAAGUGACAGACGGUCUUGCUGUCACUUUUAGAUGGAUCCGCGCUGUAUUAGCUAGUUGGUAAGGUAACGGCUUAUCAAGGCAACGAUGCAUAGCAGAGCUGAGAGGGUGAUCGGCCACACUGGAACUGAGACACGGUCCAGACUCCUACGGGAGGCAGCAGUAGGGAAUCUUCCGCAAUGGGCGAAAGCCUGACGGAGCAACGCCGCGUGAGUGAUGAAGGUCUUCGGAUCGUAAAACUCUGUUAUUAGGGAAGAACAUAGGUGUAAGUAACUGUGCACAUAUUGACGGUACCUGAUCAGAAAGCCACGGCUAACUACGUG
Molecule: ribosomal RNA, 497 nt
Filed under: uncultured bacterium
Lineage: Bacteria
Description: partial 16S ribosomal RNA
Rfam family: Bacterial small subunit ribosomal RNA
Source: RNAcentral